AAAAAAAAAGCCCAAAAAUGAUGUUGAAGAGCAGCUUACCUCUUGGGGCUUUUAUACGUGUUCACCAAGUGGACAGAGAUACCAACCUGAGGGCCUCUGGCCUUAGUGUGGCUCGUAGACUUAAUCAGUUUUGUCUGAAAAUUGUGUGUAUUAACUUCACCACUUAACAACUGGAGAUUUCCCAGAAGAAGGAAUGGAUUUUGAUGAAUCUGGCAAGACUGAACCCACAUUGCACUUUCAGGGAUACCAGUUGGCUGGGUGGGGGUCUGUCCCUUGGCUGGGGCCACCUCUCCUAUCUGUGGCAGUCCCCACCUUGCCUGUUUCCCUUGUGUAUGCUACCUGCAAAACCCAUACAUGCAUUUGAGUUCGUUGCCCCUACUUAAGGCAAUUUUCUUAGGAAUCUGUCAUCUCUGGUAACUUCAUCAGAAGGUAAAGUCCUUUGAAGAUAGUUCCGGUUAGGUCAUUGAUUAUGGUUUUAUAUCAUCUCAUAGCAUUAUUUGCAUCUUUAUACCUUUGCUUCCUCUCAUCUUUGAGGAGAAUAUGAACAUUUAUGGAGUACUUGUAACAUAUUAGACAUUGUUGUAAGUUGCAUAGAGAUAGUCACAAAAUCCAGAAAACUUGUUAUGAGUUACUGUGGUAAUCAUAAGUAUGGUACUGCACUGGUUUCCUACUGCUGCUGUAAUAUUGCAACAAACCAAGUGGCUUAAGCAACACAAAUUUAUUUCUCUCCAGCUCCAUUGCUCAGAAGUCAGAAGUGCCAGGCCCAUGUCAGAGGCUUAUCUUUUAGUGUGAGUUCAUUAAUCUUGUCCUUAGACAAAUUGGUUGAUGAAAGAAGGGCUUUUAUCUAUGUUUCAUGGGAAGGGACAGCAUUUAGCAAUGGUGCUUAGUCUUGUUCUUUUUCAUGACUCAGAGACCACUUUUAAAAUCUUCAAAAGUUAAAAAAUGCUCCAGAAAGGCCAGCACAUGACAAAUUUGCAUACAAUUUCAGGUCCAAUUCCCUGGACCCUGUGAAGGCCGUUAGGGACCCCAACCUAGCAAAUGUGAGGCUUUUCCAAGGCUUGUGGUAAAUGGUGGCUAUUUCACUUCAUUUUCAGAGCAAGGAAGGCAUUCGCAAGCUGGGCUACUUGUUAACCUUUUAAAAGCUAUAGUGGAGUUUCUAGGAAAACACCAAAAGCUGAUGCUACCUUGUCCGAGGCACGUCCACAUGUUUCACAAGACGGUGUGUAUGGUGAAGCUGGAGUCCACAGGAGACUAGAGGAGAGACAUGGUCAUGGUCAUGGUCAUGGUCACCUUGCUCUGCAGGAGAUGCUGAAAGGAACCGGACUGGCUGGGGAGCCAUCCGGCCGUCAUUACGGAACAUGCCAGACUUUGGCAAGUCUCUCUUUCUGUCAGCAUGACCACUCUUGGAACCCAGCCGCUGUGCUUCCAGAAAGCCCAAACCAGCUCAUGCAGAAAGAUCACAUGGAGAGACACAUGAGAACAGAGAUCGAGGUCUCCAGCCAACAGCCAGCAUUAACUGCCAGCCAUGUGAGUAAAUGAGCUUUCAGAGAAUCCCAGAUAACAGAGAGCAAAGAAAAUCAUCCCCUCUGUGCCUGUUUGAAUUCAUAAUUACAAUUAUGCUCAAAAUUAUAAGCAUAACAAAUGGUUGCUUUACAUCAUUAUAUUUUGGGGUCAUUUGUUACCCAGCCUUUUAAAAUUUUUUAUUUCUUUGUCUUUUUUGAGCCAUGCCUGUGGCAUAUGCAAGUUCCCAGGCUAGGGGUCGAAUUGGAGCUACAGCUGCCAGCCUACACCACAGCCACAGAAACACAGGAUCCGAACUGUGUCUGUGACCUACACCACGGCUCACAGCAAUGCUGGAUCCUUAUCCCACUGAGCAAGGCCAUGGAUUGAACCCUCGUCCUCAUGGAUACUAGUCGGGUUUGUUACUGCUGGGCCGUGACCGGAACUCCCACCCAGUCUUAAUCAUUGGGAUGUGCUGGGAGAUGAGAUACAGAGAGUAACCAAAUCCAUGUUCACUGUCUUCAUGGAAUGUAUACACCCAUAUUUCUGAGAUUCCUUUCGUAGCUUCACACACUGAGAGGAUCAGGGGGCCUGAGUUUGGAACAAGUUGAGAGAGACUCUUCUGAGUCAGACAUAUAGAACUGAAAAUACGAGCUCUGAUGCUGAUAAUGUUGGUUGGGGCCUGUGGCUUUAGGACUGUAGCCACGUGUGUUUGCUAAUAUCUCUCUCACUCCUUGAUCAGAUUUAGUCACUUAUCUAGGUGCUGGCCCAGCUGGAAAACGUCAGGCCUUCUCCCCAACCCCUUUCCCUUCAUACACCUUUUCCAAGAAUAGCACCCUUGAGCAGGGAACAGUCUGCAGGACUGAGGAAGGGGGCUAAGUGCGCAUGCUCAGCUCUUCUCCCACACUCUAUGUAGUCAGAUGAGUCCCUCCUCCUCCCUGCAGAGUCGGGGUGGGGAAAGGCACACACAGUGUUAGUGCAGCUGGGCGACUUCCAUGUGGAAAUGUGAAUGUCAUACAUCUCACUAUAUUAUUAUUAAAGUUUUAUUGGUUCUUUAAUGAUUUCCACUUUAGCAUUGCCUGAAGCAAAAAUUCUCAUGGAAUCAGGGAUUUGAUUUGCCAAUGAUACAUUUUUCUGACAUAAUUAAAAUCAACUUUUAAAAAUUACUUGUCUGUGUACCAUUCAAAAUCAUUUCGCAUAUAUCAGUGGAUGUAUAUUACACUUGGGGAAAUCAUGCUAUGAGGUAUUGAUCUGAUGUCAUCCCAUAAAAUAUUAAUCUGAUGUCAUCCAGCUCAGGCAGUUAUCUAAUUCAAUGUUUGGUCCAAGACAAAUGAAAGACAUGAAAACUGAUAUUAAAUGAAAAAAAAA
Sus scrofa (pig) is the source of this 2868-nucleotide non-coding RNA. The record is from RefSeq and is a predicted model, not a curated record. NCBI's taxonomy places the organism in Eukaryota, Metazoa, Chordata, Mammalia, Artiodactyla, Suidae.